Molecule: ribosomal RNA, 460 nt
Filed under: uncultured bacterium
Lineage: Bacteria
Description: partial 16S ribosomal RNA
Rfam family: Bacterial small subunit ribosomal RNA
Source: RNAcentral
CCUACGGGCGGCAGCAGUGAGGAAUAUUGGUCAAUGGGCGCGAGCCUGAACCAGCCAAGUAGCGUGAAGGAUGACUGCCCUAUGGGUUGUAAACUUCUUUUAUAAAGGAAUAAAGUGAGCCACGUGUGGCUUUUUGUAUGUACCUUAUGAAUAAGGAUCGGCUAACUCCGUGCCAGCAGCCGCGGUAAUACGGAGGAUCCGAGCGUUAUCCGGAUUUAUUGGGUUUAAAGGGAGCGUAGGUGGGUUGUUAAGUCAGUUGUGAAAGUUUGCGGCUCAACCGUAAAAUUGCAGUUGAUACUGGCAGUCUUGAGUACAGUAGAGGUAGGCGGAAUUCGUGGUGUAGCGGUGAAAUGCUUAGAUAUCACGAAGAACUCCGAUUGCGAAGGCAGCCUACUGGACUGCAACUGACAUUGAUGCUCGAAAGUGUGGGUAUCAAACAGGAUUAGAUACCCUUGUAGUC